UGGGGAAUAUUGGACAAUGGGGGAAACCCUGAUCCAGCGACGCCGCGUGUGUGAAGAAGGCCUGCGGGUUGUAGAGCACUUUUAGUGGGGAUGAAAUGUGCAGGGCUAACACCUCUGCAUUUUGACCUAACCCACAGAAAAAGCACCGGCUAACUCUGUGCCAGCAGCCGCGGUAAUACAGAGGGUGCAAGCGUUAAUCGGAAUUACUGGGCGUAAAGCGUGCGUAGACGGUUACAUAAGUCGGGUGUGAAAGCCCCGGGCUCAACCUGGGAAUUGCAUUCGAGACUGCGUAGCUAGGGUGCGGAAGAGGGAAGCGGAAUUUCCGGUGUAGCGGUGAAAUGCGUAGAUAUCGGAAGGAACACCAGUGGCGAAAGCGGCUUCCUGGUCCAGCACCGACGUUCAGGCACGAAAGCGUGGGGAGCAAACA
This 427-nucleotide ribosomal RNA is filed under the name uncultured Gammaproteobacteria bacterium. Its description in RNAcentral is "bacterial SSU rRNA". It matches the Rfam family "Bacterial small subunit ribosomal RNA", at positions 355 to 774 of the family's 1533-position model. The record is from RNAcentral. Lineage: Bacteria; Pseudomonadati; Pseudomonadota; Gammaproteobacteria.